This 467-nucleotide ribosomal RNA is filed under the name Pseudomonas sp. oral taxon 032. RNAcentral's name for it is "bacterial SSU rRNA". It matches the Rfam family "Bacterial small subunit ribosomal RNA", at positions 30 to 490 of the family's 1533-position model. The record is from RNAcentral. Lineage: Bacteria; Pseudomonadati; Pseudomonadota; Gammaproteobacteria; Pseudomonadales; Pseudomonadaceae.
AUUGAACGCUGGCGGCAGGCCUAACACAUGCAAGUCGAGCGGAUGAAGAGAGCUUGCUCUCUGAUUUAGCGGCGGACGGGUGAGUAAUGCCUAGGAAUCUGCCUGGUAGUGGGGGAUAACGUUCCGAAAGGAACGCUAAUACCGCAUACGUCCUACGGGAGAAAGCAGGGGACCUUCGGGCCUUGCGCUAUCAGAUGAGCCUAGGUCGGAUUAGCUAGUUGGUGGGGUAAAGGCUCACCAAGGCGACGAUCCGUAACUGGUCUGAGAGGAUGAUCAGUCACACUGGAACUGAGACACGGUCCAGACUCCUACGGGAGGCAGCAGUGGGGAAUAUUGGACAAUGGGCGAAAGCCUGAUCCAGCCAUGCCGCGUGUGUGAAGAAGGUCUUCGGAUUGUAAAGCACUUUAAGUUGGGAGGAAGGGUUGUAACCUAAUACGUUGCAAUUUUGACGUUACCGACAGAAUAAG